This 72-nucleotide transfer RNA is filed under the name Providencia rettgeri. RNAcentral describes it as "tRNA-Lys". It matches the Rfam family "tRNA". From Rfam's summary of the family: Transfer RNA (tRNA) molecules are approximately 80 nucleotides in length. Their secondary structure includes four short double-helical elements and three loops (D, anti-codon, and T loops). RNAcentral also lists the same sequence under 6 other names. The record is from RNAcentral. Lineage: Bacteria; Pseudomonadati; Pseudomonadota; Gammaproteobacteria; Enterobacterales; Morganellaceae.
GGGUCGUUAGCUCAGUCGGUAGAGCAGUUGACUUUUAAUCAAUUGGUCGCAGGUUCGAAUCCUGCACGACCC